RNAcentral lists this ribosomal RNA (449 nucleotides) under uncultured bacterium. RNAcentral's name for it is "partial 16S ribosomal RNA". It matches the Rfam family "Bacterial small subunit ribosomal RNA", at positions 29 to 523 of the family's 1533-position model. The record is from RNAcentral.
AGCGAACGCUGGCGGCAGGCCUAACACAUGCAAGUCGAACGGACCCUUCGGGGUUAGUGGCGGACGGGUGAGUAACACGUGGGAACGUGCCUUUAGGUUCGGAAUAGCUCCUGGAAACGGGUGGUAAUGCCGAAUGUGCCCUUCGGGGGAAAGAUUUAUCGCCUUUAGAGCGGCCCGCGUCUGAUUAGCUAGUUGGUGAGGUAAUGGCUCACCAAGGCGACGAUCAGUAGCUGGUCUGAGAGGAUGACCAGCCACACUGGGACUGAGACACGGCCCAGACUCCUACGGGAGGCAGCAGUGGGGAAUCUUGCGCAAUGGGCGAAAGACUGACGCAGCCAUGCCGCGUGAAUGAUGAAGGUCUUAGGAUUGUAAAAUUCUUUCACCGGGGACGAGAAUGACGGUACCCGGAGAAGAAGCCCCGGCUAACUUCGUGCCAGCAGCCGCCGUAA